RNAcentral lists this ribosomal RNA (467 nucleotides) under uncultured bacterium. RNAcentral's name for it is "partial 16S ribosomal RNA". It matches the Rfam family "Bacterial small subunit ribosomal RNA", at positions 28 to 507 of the family's 1533-position model. The record is from RNAcentral.
GAUGAACGCUGGCGGCGUGCUUAACACAUGCAAGUCGAACGGAACGGUCCAAUCUUGUUUGGGUCCUCGAGUGGCGAACGGGUGAGUUACCCGUGGGUGAUCUGUCCCGCACUUCGGGAUAAGCCUGGGAAACUGGGUCUCUUCCCGGCUAGGAUUGUGGUUCGGUUGCUAUUGUGGAAUGUUUUUUCGGUGUGGGAUGAGUUCGCGGCCUAUCAGCUUGUUGGAGUGGUAAUGGCUUACCAAGGCGUCGACGGGUAGCCGGCCUGAGAGUGUGUACGGCCACAUUGGGACUGGGAAACAGACCAGACUCCGACGGGAGGGAGCAGUGGGGGAGAGUACACAAGGAGCGCAGGCCUGAGGCAGCGACACCGCGGGGGGGAGGACGACCAUCGGGUUAGAGACUCCAAGCGCUAGGGACGAAGCGGUAUGUGACAGUACCUAGAGAAGAAGCACCGGCUAACUACGUG